RNAcentral lists this ribosomal RNA (247 nucleotides) under uncultured bacterium. Its description in RNAcentral is "partial 16S ribosomal RNA". It matches the Rfam family "Bacterial small subunit ribosomal RNA", at positions 523 to 769 of the family's 1533-position model. The record is from RNAcentral.
AGACGGAGGGAGCAAGCGUUGUUCGGAUUUACUGGGCGUAAAGGGCGUCUAGGCGGGUUGGUCAGUCAGGUGUGAAACCCCCCGGCUUAACCGGGGAUCUGCACUUGAUACUGCCAAUCUUGAGUAUGGAAGAGGAAAGCGGAAUUCCAGGUGUAGCGGUGAAAUGCGUAGAUAUCUGGAAGAACACCGGUGGCGAAGGCGGCUUUCUGGUCCAAUACUGACGCUAAAGCGCGAAAGUGUGGGGAGC